Molecule: long non-coding RNA, 291 nt
Filed under: Elaeis guineensis (African oil palm)
Lineage: Eukaryota; Viridiplantae; Streptophyta; Magnoliopsida; Arecales; Arecaceae
Description: long non-coding RNA (EGUI_LNC033046)
Source: RNAcentral
AGCUACUAAUAGAAUUAGCUAUGCCCCUAGACCUAUUGUUAGAGUUUUACCUAAGGAUCUCUAAUAUAAUAUAAAGUCUAGGCCUGACGAUGAUAUAAUAAGGAUGAUGAGUUUAUAGAGAAAUAAUAGAUCCCUAAGAAUACAAGACAAUAGAUAGCCAAUCUAUGACCAUCUAGGAGGAGUUCGUCAUAGGCCAGUUGAUUAGCAUGCUAGAUAUCUUGAUAGGAUCAAUAGACAUUCCCCUCCACCCCACUAAUAUGAUCAAGAUGACACUAGAAGCAUUAUUUGGUU